This 262-nucleotide ribosomal RNA is filed under the name uncultured bacterium. RNAcentral's name for it is "partial 16S ribosomal RNA". It matches the Rfam family "Bacterial small subunit ribosomal RNA", at positions 793 to 1055 of the family's 1533-position model. The record is from RNAcentral.
GUCCACGCCGUAAACGUUGGGCACUAGGUGUGGGCUCCAACCAACGGAGUCCGUGCCGUCGCUAACGCAUUAAGUGCCCCGCCUGGGGAGUACGGCCGCAAGGCUAAAACUCAAAGGAAUUGACGGGGCCCCGCACAAGCAGCGGAGCGUGUUGCUUAAUUCGAUGCGACGCGAAGAACCUUACCUGGGUUUGACAUGCAGGGAAAAGCCGUAGAGAUACGGUGUCCUUCGGGCCGUUGCACAGGUGGUGCAUGGCUGUCGU